CUCGGCCUACGGGGGGCAGCAGUGGGGAAUAUUGCACAAUGGGGGAAACCCUGAUGCAGCGACGCCGCGUGAGCGAUGAAGUAUUUCGGUAUGUAAAGCUCUAUCAGCAGGGAAGAAAAUGACGGUACCUGACUAAGAAGCCCCGGCUAACUACGUGCCAGCAGCCGCGGUAAUACGUAGGGGGCAAGCGUUAUCCGGAUUUACUGGGUGUAAAGGGAGCGUAGACGGCGGUGCAAGCCAGAUGUGAAAGCCCGGGGCUCAACCCCGGGACUGCAUUUGAAACUGUAUUUCUUGAGUGCUGGAGG
This 305-nucleotide ribosomal RNA is filed under the name uncultured bacterium. Its description in RNAcentral is "bacterial SSU rRNA". It matches the Rfam family "Bacterial small subunit ribosomal RNA", at positions 330 to 655 of the family's 1533-position model. The record is from RNAcentral.